Molecule: ribosomal RNA, 780 nt
Filed under: Pterostichus katashinensis
Lineage: Eukaryota; Metazoa; Arthropoda; Insecta; Coleoptera; Carabidae
Description: partial 16S rRNA
Rfam family: Bacterial large subunit ribosomal RNA (bases 1-552)
Source: RNAcentral
GCCCACUGAAAAUUUUUAAAUGGCCGCAGUAAUUUGACUGUGCAAAGGUAGCAUAAUCAUUAGUUUUUUAAUUAAAAGCUUGUAUGAAAGGUUGGACGAAGUAAAAUCUGUCUCUAUUUAAAUUAAAAUAGAAUUUAAUUUUUAAGUUAAAAAGCUUAAAUUUUAGUAAAAGACGAGAAGACCCUAUAGAACUUUAUAAUUUAAUUAAUAUAAUAUAUUAGGAUUUAUUUAAGUUUUAUUAGUUAAAUUAUUUUAUUGGGGUAAUAGGAAGAUUAAAUGAAUUCUUUUUUAAAGUUAACAUUUAUUUAUGAUAUUAAUGAUCCAUUUUUAAUGAUUAUAAGAUUAAGUUACCUUAGGGAUAACAGCGUAAUUUUUUUGGAGAGUUCAUAUCGAUAAAAAAGUUUGCGACCUCGAUGUUGGAUUAAAGAUUAAUUUAGGUGUAGAAGUUUAAAUUUUUGGUCUGUUCGACCAUUAAAUCUUUACAUGAUCUGAGUUCAGACCGGUGUAAGCCAGGUCGGUUUCUAUCUUUAUUAAAUUUAAAUAUUUUAGUACGAAAGGACCAAAUAUUUGAUAUAAUUAUAUUUUUAAUUUUGAAUAUUAAUAUUAUUUUGGCAGAUUUAGUGCAAUAAAUUUAGAAUUUAUAAAUGUAAUUAUAUUACAAAUAAUACUUGUUUUAUAUAGAUUUAUUAUUUUCUUUAAUUUAUAUAGUAUUAUUAUUAAUUUGUGUUUUAGUAGGAGUUGCUUUUUUAACUUUAUUAGAACGUAAGGUAUUAGGUUAUA